Molecule: ribosomal RNA, 497 nt
Filed under: uncultured bacterium
Lineage: Bacteria
Description: partial 16S ribosomal RNA
Rfam family: Bacterial small subunit ribosomal RNA
Source: RNAcentral
GAUGAACGCUGGCGGCGUGCCUAAUACAUGCAAGUCGAGCGAACGGACGAGAAGCUUUCUUCUCUGAUGUUAGCGGCGGACGGGUGAGUAACACGUGGAUAACCUACCUAUAAGACUGGGAUAACUUCGGGAAACCGGAGCUAAUACCGGAUAAUUUUUUGAACCGCAUGGUUCAAAAUUGAAAGCCGGUCUUGCUCUCACUUAUAGAUGGAUCCUCGCUGCAUUAGCUAGUUGGUAAGGUAACGGCUUACCAAGGCAACGAUGCAUAGCCGACCUGAGAGGGUGAUCGGCCACACUGGAACUGAGACACGGUCCAGACUCCUACGGGAGGCAGCAGUAGGGAAUCUUCCGCAAUGGGCGAAAGCCUGACGGAGCAACGCCGCGUGAGUGAUGAAGGUCUUCGGAUCGUAAAACUCUGUUAUUAGGGAAGAACAUAUGUGUAAGUAACUGUGCACAUCUUGACGGUACCUAAUCAGAAAGCCACGGCUAACUACGUG